AGAACAAGGACUCAGAAUGAGCUCUGCUCUUGGGGUCUGUGUCACUGCUUUGCCCACAUUAUCUACUUGACUUUGAAUCAGCCCACCCACUCAGGUUGGGGUCCUAAUAGGAAGACUGUGAUGCAAGAGGUGAAGUCACCAGCCUGAGUCAGGCAGCAAGCAAGGGAACAGGGUUGGGGGUCGGACACACACUGAUUUUCCUCCUAAAUCCAUGCUCUUUCUGAUCCAUAGCUGGGCCCUCAGUUUCCUCCUCUGGGGGAUGGAGCUAAUGCAGUAUCAUAGGGCUGCUGAGAGCUGAGGGGGAGCAACUAGGUGAAAAAAAUCAGGCUCCAUAAAUGUUAUAUUACUUCCUGCCUUCCUCCCCCUGGAUGGCUGAUCAGGGCCAUUUCUCCAAGUAAUUUAGCAAGGCGAGUGUCUGCGGUCCCUCUCCUCGCAGACUCCUGCCCUGCACUGAUAAGUUUUAUUAGCAAAGAGGGAAGGGAUUUUCUACGACCAAAUUUCUUCUGGGCUUUCCAGGAGAAAUUGAUGGAGCUGCCCGGCUCCUUGGCCGGCACUUCAUCCUGAUGGGAUUGCCUGGGCUGUGCGGGGACUGAGCGCUACAGAAACUGUUCUAGCCCAAGGAGGGAGGGCUGGGCAAUGUUAUUCUUCUGAAGGGGAAAAUCAUCAUUUGGCUUCUUGGGUUUAUGUACCCAGGGCACCAGGGAAGCAGCUGGAAUUUGCCUGGAAACCACAAUGCUGUCGGCUUGGUUCUCAAUAGGCAACUGGGGACAAGACUGCAUUUGAUGGUCCAUCACCUGUCUUUCUGUUCUGCAUAAUAAGAACCCAUUCUCGGGGCAUCUUAUUGGCUCUGCUGAGUUUCGCAUUGUUUGGUUUCCUGUAAAGGCACUCAGUAGGGGAUCCCAGAGCCAUACUGAGUCGAAGCUUCAGGAGAUGCAGAGACAUAUCUGCAAGGGCCCCAGCAACCAGUGACCUAAACCUACUUGAGAAGCAGUGGAGGACAAAGGAAGAUCCGCACAAACUGAGUCCUGGGUCUGUCUCCCACAAGCAGGACAUCUCAGGAAAGGAUUCCUGCUCCCCAACUCCUAAUGGCCAUAAGGGUAACUUCUACUCAAGCUGCUGCACCCACCACUUCCUCCCAGAAGCCCUCUGAUUCUGACUCUCAUUCCAUGCCUGGUCCAAACUCUUCUCUCUGAACUUGCAUUUAUGUCAGCACCACAGCAGGUGAAUUGACACAGGCUCUGUCUACGCAUCUCCUCCCCACUCUGGGCUGCUGGCACCCUGACGGCAGAGUUGUUUCUGUUCUGUAUGCCAGGGCCUAGCAGUCUAAGGCACCUCUUAGAUGCACAAUGAAUGAUGUGGAAUGAGUACAUGAAUGAACACAUGUUCUGGGUGUCUCAGUGUUCUUUCUCAUCUGUAAAUUGUGGGUAAAAUUACGUUACUUGGUUCCUGAGAUUACCUGAGAUGAACUAUAUGAAAGCAUGCUUAAAGUGUUAAGAGUUAGCACAGCAAUGUAACCCUUUGGGGAGGGGGGGCACCCCAAUAGUUGAACAGAACAGCAGGCAGCAGGGAUGACAGAAGGAGAGCAGGCUUUGGAGUCAGAGACUCCUGGUUCAAAUUCUAGUUCUACUACUCAGCGUAUGAUUGACCCUGGGUGAUGCACGUUGCUC
Molecule: long non-coding RNA, 1667 nt
Filed under: Sus scrofa (pig)
Lineage: Eukaryota; Metazoa; Chordata; Mammalia; Artiodactyla; Suidae
Description: lncRNA (ENSSSCG00045022742.1, ENSSSCG00055029746.1)
Source: RNAcentral